Molecule: ribosomal RNA, 476 nt
Filed under: uncultured bacterium
Lineage: Bacteria
Description: bacterial SSU rRNA
Rfam family: Bacterial small subunit ribosomal RNA
Source: RNAcentral
AACGAACGCUGGCGGCAGGCCUAACACAUGCAAGUCGAACGCCGUAGCAAUACGGAGUGGCAGACGGGUGAGUAACACGUGGGAACGUACCUUUCGGUUCGGAAUAACUCAGGGAAACUUGAGCUAAUACCGGAUACGUGCGAGAGCAGAAAGAUUUAUCGCCGAAAGAUCGGCCCGCGUCCGAUUAGCUUGUUGGUGAGGUAACGGCUCACCAAGGCGACGAUCGGUAGCUGGUCUGAGAGGAUGAUCAGCCACACUGGGACUGAGACACGGCCCAGACUCCUACGGGAGGCAGCAGUGGGGAAUAUUGGACAAUGGGCGCAAGCCUGAUCCAGCCAUGCCGCGUGAGUGAUGACGGCCUUAGGGUUGUAAACUGCUUUUGUACGGAACGAAAAGGUACCUGGUUAAUACCUGGGGCUCAUGACGGUACCGUAAGAAUAAGCACCGGCUAACUACGUGCCAGCAGCCGCGGUAAU